AGAGUUUGAUCCUGGCUCAGAUUAAACGCUGGCGGAAUGCUUUACACAUGCAAGUCGGGCGGCAGCAUGGACUUCGGUCUGAUGGCGAGCGGCGAACGGGUGAGUAACAUAUAGGAACAUACCCAGUAAUGGGGGAUAACGCCGAGAAAUCGGUGCUAAUACCGCAUACGCCCUGAGGGGGAAAGCGGGGGAUCUUCGGACCUCGCGUUACUGGAUUGGCCUAUAUCUGAUUAGCUAGUUGGUGGGGUAAAGGCCCACCAAGGCGACGAUCUGUAGCGGGUCUGAGAGGAUGAUCCGCCACACUGGGACUGAGACACGGCCCAGACUCCUACGGGAGGCAGCAGUGGGGAAUUUUGGACAAUGGGCGCAAGCCUGAUCCAGCCAUGCCGCGUGCAGGAAGAAGGCCUUCGGGUUGUAAACUGCUUUCGGACGGAAAGAAAUCGCCACUUCUAAUACGAG
This 459-nucleotide ribosomal RNA is filed under the name uncultured bacterium. RNAcentral describes it as "bacterial SSU rRNA". It matches the Rfam family "Bacterial small subunit ribosomal RNA", at positions 8 to 465 of the family's 1533-position model. The record is from RNAcentral.